GGAAUAUUGGUCAAUGGGGGCAACCCUGAACCAGCCAAGUCGCGUGAAGGAUGAAGGUCUUAUGGAUUGUAAACUUCUUUUACACGGGAAUAAAGCGGGGGACGUGUCCCUCUUUGCAUGUACCGUGUGAAUAAGCAUCGGCUAACUUCGUGCCAGCAGCCGCGGUAAUACGAAGGAUGCAAGCGUUAUCCGGAAUUAUUGGGUUUAAAGGGUGCGUAGGCGGACUAAUAAGUCAGUGGUGAAAGCCUGCAGCUUAACUGCAGAAUUGCCAUUGAUACUAUAGGUCUUGAAUUAUCUGGAGGUAAGCGGAAUAUGUCAUGUAGCGGUGAAAUGCUUAGAUAUGACAUAGAACACCAAUUGCGAAGGCAGCUUACUACAUAUAAAUUGACGCUGAGGCACGAAAGCGUGGGGAUCAAACA
Molecule: ribosomal RNA, 419 nt
Filed under: uncultured bacterium
Lineage: Bacteria
Description: bacterial SSU rRNA
Rfam family: Bacterial small subunit ribosomal RNA
Source: RNAcentral